CACUCCCUGCAGGAGCUAGUUUGCCUGAGGCAGGUGCAGUCCCUGUGGGAGAUGGCUUGCCUGAGGCAGGUGCAGUCCCUGUGGGAGAUG
This 90-nucleotide transfer RNA is filed under the name Pseudomonas putida. RNAcentral describes it as "tRNA-Leu". Lineage: Bacteria; Pseudomonadati; Pseudomonadota; Gammaproteobacteria; Pseudomonadales; Pseudomonadaceae. The record is from RNAcentral.